Long non-coding RNA from Oryza sativa Japonica Group (Japanese rice), 1118 nucleotides. RefSeq lists it as uncharacterized. The record is from RefSeq and is a predicted model, not a curated record. NCBI's taxonomy places the organism in Eukaryota, Viridiplantae, Streptophyta, Magnoliopsida, Poales, Poaceae.
UUUCUCUUUCUCAGGCAGAGGACGGCGCGGGUGGGCGGCGGAGCAGGCGAGCUCCGGCGGCGGCGGUGGCCGUGGUCGGCGCCGCCGCUCCGCGUGAAGGCGAGCAGCGCGGCGGCGCCCUAGACGCCAUCGACGCUGCCAUCCAUGUCGCCGCCGCCGACCACCCGGACGCCCUCCGCGCGCGCCGGGACGGCAUUGCCAAGCGCCUCUACACCGCGCUCGUCAUGCUCCCGCCGCUGCUUGCCGCCGCUCCACAAGCCGUCUACGCCGCGCUCUCCCCUCCCGACGCCGUGCUCCGUCUCCUCGCCUCCCUCCCCUGCGCCCCCAAUUCCUUCAUGCUCAACACCACGCUCCGUGCCCUCGCCUUCUCCCCCAACCCGGCCUCCGCCCUCGGCUUCUUCUCCCUGUCCGCCGCGACAGCGGCAACAGCAGCGGCAGCGGCGGCUCGUACUCCCCUCACUCCCUCCCGGGCACGCGCGUAUGGGAAAGGGGAAGAGGAACGAAGGAGCUAGAGCCGUGCCGAGCUCCCUCCUCUCCCGCCGGCGAGCUAGAAGGGCGGCGGACGGCUAGGCGAGCUCCCUGGCCUACCGGCGAGCGCGCGGGCGUCGCUCCCUCCUCUCCCGCCGGCGCCACACCUGUGCGUCAGCCAUCCGUGUGCGGUCCGUGCGAGGCGCCGCUCCAGGCGUGCAGGCUUCCACGCGCCUCCUUCCUCGCUCGCCGUCGCCCUCCCUUCCACUGUAUGUGAAUCUCGUUGCUGUGAACUCAAUUUGGUUUGAAGUGAUCGAUCGUGGUCACAACUUAAUCCAUCUGUUGCGCAAGAGAGAGAUGGCCGCCUCUGCCCCACGCGCCUCGCGUGCCGCCGCGCACGCCAUCGCCCGCCGCCAGCCAUGCGCUGUACAUCGCCGGCGCCGCCUACCGCCGCCGCGCCGCCCGUCGUGCUGGACGCCGCCCGGCGAGAGGAGGGAGCAGAGAGAUGGGGAGAGCUGGAGAGAGGAGGAAGAAGAGGAUUGGAUUUGAUCAUUUGGGAAUGACAUGUCAUUUGGGCCCCUCCAUAUUUAUUUUUAAAUUAUUUUUUCUAUGGUUGAAUUGUGGGACCACGAUUUUUAUUACUUUUCCAA